Molecule: ribosomal RNA, 268 nt
Filed under: Escherichia coli
Lineage: Bacteria; Pseudomonadati; Pseudomonadota; Gammaproteobacteria; Enterobacterales; Enterobacteriaceae
Description: partial 16S ribosomal RNA
Rfam family: Bacterial small subunit ribosomal RNA
Source: RNAcentral
AAGCGGACCUCAUAAAGUGCGUCGUAGUCCGGAUUGGAGUCUGCAACUCGACUCCAUGAAGUCGGAAUCGCUAGUAAUCGUGGAUCAGAAUGCCACGGUGAAUACGUUCCCGGGCCUUGUACACACCGCCCGUCACACCAUGGGAGUGGGUUGCAAAAGAAGUAGGUAGCUUAACCUUCGGGAGGGCGCUUACCACUUUGUGAUUCAUGACUGGGGUGAAGUCGUAACAAGGUAACCGUAGGGGAACCUGCGGUUGGAUCACCUCCUU